GGACGAACGCUGGCGGCGUGCCUAAUCCAUGCAAGUCGAGCGAGUCUGCCUUGAAGAUCGGAGUGCUUGCACUCUGUGAAACAAGAUACAGGCUAGCGGCGGACGGGUGAGUAACACGUGGGUAACCUGCCCAAGAGAUCGGGAUAACACCUGGAAACAGAUGCUAAUACCGGAUAACAACAGAUGAUGCCUAUCAACUGUUUAAAAGAUGGUUCUGCUAUCACUCUUGGAUGGACCUGCGGUGCAUUAGCUAGUUGGUAGGGUAACGGCCUACCAAGGCGAUGAUGCAUAGCCGAGUUGAGAGACUGAUCGGCCACAUUGGGACUGAGACACGGCCCAAACUCCUACGGGAGGCAGCAGUAGGGAAUCUUCCACAAUGGACGCAAGUCUGAUGGAGCAACGCCGCGUGAGUGAAGAAGGGUUUCGGCUCGUAAAGCUCUGUUGUUGGUGAAGAAGGACAGGGGUAGUAACUGACCUUUGUUUGACGGUAAUCAAUUAGAAAGUCACGGCUAACUACGUG
RNAcentral lists this ribosomal RNA (520 nucleotides) under uncultured bacterium. Its description in RNAcentral is "partial 16S ribosomal RNA". It matches the Rfam family "Bacterial small subunit ribosomal RNA", at positions 27 to 507 of the family's 1533-position model. The record is from RNAcentral.